Molecule: transfer RNA, 93 nt
Filed under: Candidatus Rokuibacteriota bacterium
Lineage: Bacteria; Candidatus Rokuibacteriota
Description: Candidatus Rokubacteria bacterium (groundwater metagenome) tRNA-Leu
Rfam family: tRNA (bases 1-83)
About the family: Transfer RNA (tRNA) molecules are approximately 80 nucleotides in length.
Source: RNAcentral
GCCGAAGUGGCGGAAUUGGCAGACGCGCAUGAUUCAGGGUCAUGUGCCCGCAAGGGUGUGGGGGUUCGAGUCCCCCCUNNGCGAUGGGCACCA